GACGAACGCUGGCGGCGUGCUUAACACAUGCAAGUCGAACGGUGAGGCGCUUUCCUUUUUGGUUGGUGUGGAUGAGUGGCGAACGGGUGAGUAACACGUGAGUAACCUGCCCCCUUCUUCUGGAUAACCGCAUGAAAGUGUGGCUAAUACGGGAUAUUCUGCGCCUGCCGCAUGGUGGGUGUGGGAAAGAUUGUGCCUUUGGGUGUUUUCGGUGGGGGAUGGGCUCGCGGCCUAUCAGCUUGUUGGUGGGGUGAUGGCCUACCAAGGCGGUGACGGGUAGCCGGCCUGAGAGGGUGGACGGUCACACUGGGACUGAGACACGGCCCAGACUCCUACGGGAGGCAGCAGUGGGGAAUAUUGCACAAUGGGCGCAAGCCUGAUGCAGCGACGCCGCGUGAGGGAUGGAGGCCUUCGGGUUGUGAACCUCUUUCGCCAGUGAAGCAGGCCUGCUCCUUGUGGGUGGGUUGACGGUAGCUGGAUAAGAAGCGCCGGCUAACUACGUG
RNAcentral lists this ribosomal RNA (503 nucleotides) under uncultured bacterium. Its description in RNAcentral is "partial 16S ribosomal RNA". It matches the Rfam family "Bacterial small subunit ribosomal RNA", at positions 28 to 507 of the family's 1533-position model. The record is from RNAcentral.